Molecule: long non-coding RNA, 346 nt
Organism: Pygocentrus nattereri (red-bellied piranha)
Lineage: Eukaryota; Metazoa; Chordata; Actinopteri; Characiformes; Serrasalmidae
Exons: 4
Source: RefSeq, a predicted model, not a curated record
CAGAGCGCAUGGUUUUGUCCAGAUUGCGUGGUGGAGUUAGAAAUGUCUCGGAGGGAGAAAUCCACUGAACUAUGUGUACGCAGUCGAGAGCAGUUCAACUGUGAAAAGGGAGCCUCUAACGUACCUGAGAUUAUACAGAACAGAACCACCUCAGAAUGGAAGACUGUGGUUUCAUUCACUGUUCUGUCAAGCACAGCACAGCACACCACAGCACAAAGAAGAACAGUAUUGUGCUGACGUUCUGAUGUUCCUCUCCUUCCUCCCCACCACCACCAGUUGGGUCCCUGUCUGUCCCGGCCUACGCUAAAGGCUCUUUAAUUUCUACUGAAUUGUUAUUUUUAAACCU